Molecule: ribosomal RNA, 440 nt
Filed under: uncultured bacterium
Lineage: Bacteria
Description: bacterial SSU rRNA
Rfam family: Bacterial small subunit ribosomal RNA
Source: RNAcentral
CCUACGGGAUGCACCAGUGGGGAAUCUUGCGCAAUGGGCGAAAGCCUGACGCAGCCAUGCCGCGUGAAUGAUGAAGGUCUUAGGAUUGUAAAAUUCUUUCACCGGGGACGAUAAUGACGGUACCCGGAGAAGAAGCCCCGGCUAACUUCGUGCCAGCAGCCGCGGUAAUACGAAGGGGGCUAGCGUUGCUCGGAAUUACUGGGCGUAAAGGGCGCGUAGGCGGAUCGUUAAGUCAGGGGUGAAAUCCCAGAGCUCAACUCUGGAACUGCCUUUGAUACUGGCGAUCUUGAGUGUGAGAGAGGUGUGUGGAACUCCGAGUGUAGAGGUGAAAUUCGUAGAUAUUCGGAAGAACACCAGUGGCGAAGGCGACAUACUGGCUCAUUACUGACGCUGAGGCGCGAAAGCGUGGGGAGCAAACAGGAUUAGAUACCCCUGUAGUC